AUUGAACGCUGGCGGAAUGCUUUACACAUGCAAGUCGAACGGCAGCACGGGGGCAACCCUGGUGGCGAGUGGCGAACGGGUGAGUAAUACAUCGGAACGUGCCCAGUCGUGGGGGAUAACGCAGCGAAAGCUGUGCUAAUACCGCAUACGAUCUAUGGAUGAAAGCGGGGGACCGUAAGGCCUCGCGCGAUUGGAGCGGCCGAUGGCAGAUUAGGUAGUUGGUGGGGUAAAGGCUCACCAGGCCGACGAUCUGUAGCUGGUCUGAGAGGACGACCAGCCACACUGGGGCUGAGACACGGCCCAGACUCCUAAGGGAGGCAGCAGUGGGGAAUUUUGGAGAAUGGGCGCAAGACUGAUCCAGCCAUUCCGCGUGCAGGAUGAAGGCCCUCGGGUUGUAAACUGCUUUUGUACGGAACGAAAAGCCUUCUUCUAAUACAGGAGGGUCAUGACGGUACCGUAAGAAUAAGCACCGGCUAACUACGUGCCAGCAGCCGCCGUAA
This 500-nucleotide ribosomal RNA is filed under the name uncultured bacterium. RNAcentral's name for it is "partial 16S ribosomal RNA". It matches the Rfam family "Bacterial small subunit ribosomal RNA", at positions 29 to 523 of the family's 1533-position model. The record is from RNAcentral.